AACGAAACGACUCUCGGCAACGGAUAUCUCGGCUCUCGCAUCGAUGAAGAACGUAGCGAAAUGCGAUACUUGGUGUGAAUUGCAGAAUCCCGUGAACCAUCGAGUCUUUGAACGCAAGUUGCGCCCGAUGCCUUUGGGCUGAGGGCACGUCUGCCUGGGUGUCACGCACCGUCGCCC
RNAcentral lists this ribosomal RNA (177 nucleotides) under Monnina exalata. RNAcentral's name for it is "5.8S ribosomal RNA". The stretch from base 9 to 164 matches the Rfam family "5.8S ribosomal RNA". Rfam says of the family: 5.8S ribosomal RNA (5.8S rRNA) is a component of the large subunit of the eukaryotic ribosome. It is transcribed by RNA polymerase I as part of the 45S precursor that also contains 18S and 28S rRNA. Functionally, it is thought that 5.8S rRNA may be involved in ribosome translocation. The record is from RNAcentral. Lineage: Eukaryota; Viridiplantae; Streptophyta; Magnoliopsida; Fabales; Polygalaceae.